AAGAACAAUACUGGCGUAAUUAUACAGAACAGUCAUUUUGCCUGUUGACAUAACAGAAAUAUGCUUUACAUGUCAUUUUGUUCUAGGGAGCAGGGAGCAUACAGAGGAGUUGAUAAAACUCCGUGGGCAAAAUAACCACCUCUUUACUGGGGCCAAGAACACUGCCGCAGUCGGAUGGAGAACAAUCCUGCAAAAAACGGGCCUGGAGGGUGAAGUUGAGUCACAACAGGCCAAAAAAAAGUGGGACAACUU
Molecule: long non-coding RNA, 252 nt
Organism: Fundulus heteroclitus (mummichog)
Lineage: Eukaryota; Metazoa; Chordata; Actinopteri; Cyprinodontiformes; Fundulidae
Exons: 2
Source: RefSeq, a predicted model, not a curated record